CAGUAGCCACGGUAAUACAGAGGGUGCGAGCGUUAAUCGGAAUUACUGGGCGUAAAGGGCGCGUAGGCGGUUAGGAAGGUGUGAUGUGAAAGCCCUGGGCUUAACCUAGGAAGUGCAUCGCAAACCAACUAGCUGGAGUAUAAGAGAGGGUGGCGGAAUUUCCGGUGUAGCGGUGAAAUGCGUAGAGAUCGGAAGGAACGUCAAUGGCGAAGGCAGCCACCUGGCUUAAUACUGACGCUGAGGCGCGAAAGCCAGGGGAGCGAACGGGAUUAGAGACCCCAGUAGUCCCUGUCUCUUAUAC
This 301-nucleotide ribosomal RNA is filed under the name uncultured bacterium. RNAcentral's name for it is "partial 16S ribosomal RNA". It matches the Rfam family "Bacterial small subunit ribosomal RNA", at positions 509 to 807 of the family's 1533-position model. The record is from RNAcentral.